UUUUACUUGAGAGUUGAUCCUGGCUCAGACGAACGCUGGCGGUUGCUUAACACAUGCAAGUCGAACGAGAAGCUUUUUAUGAUCCUGGUGAUUUAAGAAGCAGACAGUGGCGAACGGUGAGUAACGCGUGGGGCAACCUGCCUUUCGGAGCGGAAUAGCCGCGGAAACCGGGAGUAAAGCCGCAAACAUUAUUUUUCGCAUGAAGAAAUAAUCAAAAACUCCGGGCCGAAAGAUGGGCCCGCUCCUAUUAGCUGGUUGGUGAGGCAACGGCUCACCAAGGCGACGAUAGGUAGCGGUUGAGAGGGCGAACGGCCACACUGGAACUGAGAACACGGUCCAGACUCCUACGGGAGGAGCAGUGGGGAAUAUUGCGCCAAUGGGGGCAACCUGACGCAGCAAUACCGCGUGAGUGAAGAAGGUUUUCGGAUCGUAAAGCUCUGUUAUUGGGGAAGAAGAAGUGGACGGUACCAAUGAGGAAGUCCCGGCUAAUACUGCCAGCAGCAGCGGUAUACGUAAGGGACGAGCGUUGUCCGGAAUCACUGGCGUAAAGGGCGCGUAGGCGGUUUUAUAAGUCAGAUGUGAAAGGUACCGGCUCAACCGGUGCGUGCAUUUGAAACUGUAAGACUUGAGUACUGAAGAGGCCAGCGGAAUUCCUAGUGUAGCGGUGAAAUGCGUAGAUAUUAGGAAGAACACCGGUGGCGAAGGCGGCUUGUGGGCAGAUACGACGCUGAGGUGCGAAAGCAUGGGGAGCGAACAGGAUUAGAUACCCUGGUAGUCCAUGCCGUAACGAUGAAUACUAGGUGUUGGCAGUUAUGUCAGUGCCACAGUUAACACAAUAAGUAUUCCGCCUGGGGAGUACGACCGCAAGGUUGAAACUCAAAGGAAUUGACGGGGACCCGCACAAGCAGCGGAGCAUGUGGUUUAAUUCGAAGCAACGCGAAGAACCUUACCAGGCCUUGACAUCCUCUGACCGUCUUAGAGAUAAGAUUUCCCUUCGGGGACAGAGGACAGGUGGUGCAUGGUUGUCGUCAGCUCGUGUCGUGAGAUGUUGGGUUAAGUCCCGCAACGGAGCAACCCUGUGAUUAGUGCAUCAUUCAGUUGGGCACUCUAAACAAGACUGCCGUAGACAAUACGAGGAAGGUGGGGACGACGUCAAAUUCAUCAUGCCCCUUAUGGCCUGGGCUACACACGUGCACAAUGGUCUGAACAGAGGGCAGCGAAACCGCGAGGCGGAGCGAAUCCCACCAAAACAGAUCUCAGUUCGGAUUGUAGGCUGAACCCGCCUACAGAAGAUGGAGUUGCUAGUAAUCGCGGAUCAGAAUGCCGCGGUGAAUGCGUUCC
This 1341-nucleotide ribosomal RNA is filed under the name Candidatus Pseudoramibacter fermentans. Its description in RNAcentral is "bacterial SSU rRNA". It matches the Rfam family "Bacterial small subunit ribosomal RNA", at positions 1 to 1374 of the family's 1533-position model. The record is from RNAcentral. Lineage: Bacteria; Bacillati; Bacillota; Clostridia; Eubacteriales; Eubacteriaceae.